RNAcentral lists this ribosomal RNA (253 nucleotides) under uncultured bacterium. RNAcentral describes it as "partial 16S ribosomal RNA". It matches the Rfam family "Bacterial small subunit ribosomal RNA", at positions 524 to 776 of the family's 1533-position model. The record is from RNAcentral.
UACAGAGGGUGCGAGCGUUAAUCGGAAUUACUGGGCGUAAAGCGUGCGUAGGCGGUUAUCUAAGUCGGAUGUGAAAGCCCCGGGCUCAACCUGGGAAUUGCAUUCGAGACUGAAUAGCUAGGGUGCGGUAGAGGGAAGCGGAAUUUCCGGUGUAGCGGUGAAAUGCGUAGAUAUCUGGAGGAACACCGGUGGCGAAGGCGGCAUCCUGGACCAACACUGACACUGAGGAGCGAAAGCCAGGGGAGCAAACGGG